AGGGUUUGAUUCUGGCUCAGGACGAACGCUGGCGGCGUGCUUAACACAUGCAAGUCGAACGAGAAUCACUGGAAGGAGUUUUCGGACAACGGAAGGUGAGGACAGUGGCGGACGGGUGAGUAACGCGUGAGGAACCUGCCUUUCAGAGGGGGACAACAGUUGGAAACGACUGCUAAUACCGCAUGACACAUAGAGAUCGCAUGGUUUUUAUGUCAAAGAUUUAUCGCUGAAAGAUGGCCUCGCGUCUGAUUAGCUAGUUGGUGAGGUAACGGCCCACCAAGGCGACGAUCAGUAGCCGGACUGAGAGGUUGACCGGCCACAUUGGGACUGAGAUACGGCCCAG
This 343-nucleotide ribosomal RNA is filed under the name uncultured bacterium. RNAcentral describes it as "bacterial SSU rRNA". It matches the Rfam family "Bacterial small subunit ribosomal RNA", at positions 8 to 334 of the family's 1533-position model. The record is from RNAcentral.